This 253-nucleotide ribosomal RNA is filed under the name uncultured bacterium. Its description in RNAcentral is "partial 16S ribosomal RNA". It matches the Rfam family "Bacterial small subunit ribosomal RNA", at positions 524 to 776 of the family's 1533-position model. The record is from RNAcentral.
GACGUAGGGGGCCAGCGUUGCUCGGAAUUACUGGGCGUAAAGGGUUCGUAGGCGGUGCGGUAAGUCGGAAGUGAAAUCUCUGGGCUUAACCCAGAGCCUGCUUUCGAAACUGCCGUGCUCGAGUGCGGGAGAGGCGAGUGGAAUUACAGGUGUAGCGGUGAAAUGCGUAGAUAUCUGUAGGAACACCCGUGGCGAAGGCGGCUCGCUGGACCGCAACUGACGCUGAGGAACGAAAGCUAGGGGAGCAAACAGG